GGACUACCCGCUGAACUUAAGCAUAUCACUAAGCGGAGGAAAAGAAACUAACUAGGAUUCCCCCAGUAACUGCGAGUGAAGAGGGAAGAGCUCAUCAUUGGAAUCUGGCAGUGUUACACUGUCCGAGUUGUAGAUGAGGAGUAGUCCGUCUGGACUGCAUGGCGUCCAAGUACAAUAGGCCGUCAGUGGGACAUCAUAGAGGGUGACAAUCCCGUCCUUGACGCCAAUGUGCAAGUCUAUUACGAUGGCUAUCUCAGAGAGUCGAGCAGUUUGGGAUUUGCUGCUUAAACAUGGGAGGUAGAUUCCUUCUAAAGCUAAAUACAGGCGAGAGACCGAUAGAGAACAAGUACCGCAAGGGAAAGAUGAAAUAGCACUCUGUGAAGGGAGUCAAAAGGCGUGAAAUUGUUGCGAGAGAAGCGAUUCAAGUCAGCGUAGCUAGGCCCAUCAAGCGUCUUCGCUUUGGACUAGCUUUGCCAGCGGUCUUGUCCCUUAAAGAGACUUGACUUGUAAUAUGUCCAGCCUGGCGUGCACAGGCAGCCCCUUCUGGGGGCCAGUGGCAUGGCUGGUGGAAUGGCUUGCAAUCGACCCGUCUUGAAACACGGACCAAGGAGUCUAACAUGUAUGCGAGUAUAAGGGUGGCAAACCCGUAUGCGCAAUGAAAGUGAUUUUCGGUGAUUGAGAAUGGCCUGAUGACCAGACAAGCAAUAUAUGUCCCUCGUACGGCCAUUGCCCAAGUUCCGUGGUAGAUCCCACGAACAUGGAGUUGGAGCAUACAUGCUAGGACCCGAAAGAUGGUGAACUAUGCCUGGACAAAGCGAAGCCAAAGGAAACUCUGGUGGAGGCUUGUAGCGAUUCUGACGUGCAAAUCGAUCGUCUGAUCUGGGUAUAGGGGCGAAAGACUAAUCGAACCAUCUCAUAGCUGGUUCCUGCCGAAGUUUCCCUCAGGA
This 947-nucleotide ribosomal RNA is filed under the name Cantharellus roseocanus. RNAcentral describes it as "eukaryotic LSU rRNA". It matches the Rfam family "Eukaryotic large subunit ribosomal RNA", at positions 19 to 978 of the family's 3401-position model. Lineage: Eukaryota; Fungi; Basidiomycota; Agaricomycetes; Cantharellales; Hydnaceae. The record is from RNAcentral.